This is a non-coding RNA of Ciona savignyi (Pacific transparent sea squirt), 74 nucleotides long. Lineage: Eukaryota; Metazoa; Chordata; Ascidiacea; Phlebobranchia; Cionidae. The record is from Rfam.
GCCCGGUUAGCUCAGCCGGUAGAGCAUUGGACUUUUUAAUCCAGCGGUCAAGGGUUCAAGUCCCUUAUCGGCUU